This 970-nucleotide ribosomal RNA is filed under the name uncultured bacterium. Its description in RNAcentral is "bacterial SSU rRNA". It matches the Rfam family "Bacterial small subunit ribosomal RNA", at positions 8 to 1010 of the family's 1533-position model. The record is from RNAcentral.
AGAGUUUGAUCCUGGCUCAGAAUCAACGCUGGCGGCGCGCUUAACACAUGCAAGUCGCACGAGAAAGUGGGAAACCAUGAGUACAGUGGCGUACGGGUGAGUAACACGUGGGUAAUCUACCUCUGAGUGGGGAAUAACCCUGGGAAACCGGGGCUAAUACCGCAUAAUCUCGAGAGAGGAAAGCAGCAAUGCGCUGAGAGAGGAGCCCGCGGCCGAUUAGCUAGUUGGUAGGGUAAGAGCCUACCAAGGCAGAGAUCGGUAGCCGGCCUGAGAGGGCACACGGCCACACUGGCACUGAAACACGGGCCAGACUCCUACGGGAGGCAGCAGUGGGGAAUCUUGCACAAUGGGGGAAACCCUGAUGCAGCGACGCCGCGUGAGCGAUGAAGCCCUUCGGGGUGUAAAGCUCUUUCGUCAGGGAAGAUCAUGACGGUACCUGGAGAAGCAGCUGCGGCUAACUACGUGCCAGCAGCCGCGGUAAUACGUAGGCAGCGAGCGUUGUUCGGAGUUACUGGGCGUAAAGGGUGUGUAGGCGGUUCUUUAAGUUUGGUGUGAAAUCUCCCGGCUCAACCGGGAGGGUGCGCCGAAUACUGAGGGACUUGGAGUGCGGGAGAGGAAAGUGGAAUUCCUGGUGUAGCGGUGAAAUGCGUAGAUAUCAGGAGGAACACCGGUGGUGUAGACGGCUUUCUGGACCGUAACUGACGCUGAGACACGAAAGCGUGGGUAGCAAACAGGAUUAGAUACCCUGGUAGUCCACGCCCUAAACGAUGCAUAUUUGGUGUGGGUCAUUCAGUUGAUCCGUGCCGGAGCUAACGCGUUAAAUAUGCCGCCUGGGGAGUACAGUCGCAAGGCUGAAACUCAAAGGAAUUGACGGGGCCCGCACAAGCGGUGGAGCAUGUGGUUCAAUUCGACGCAACGCGAAGAACCUUACCUGGGCUCGAACGGCUGGUCAACGGAAGGUGGAAACAUC